CCUACGGGUGGCUGCAGUGGGGAAUAUUGGACAAUGGGCGAAAGCCUGAUCCAGCCAUGCCGCGUGUGUGAAGAAGGCCUUCGGGUUGUAAAGCACUUUCAGUGGGGAAGAAAGCCUUGGGGCUAAUACCCUCGGGGAAGGACAUCACCCACAGAAGAAGCACCGGCUAACUCCGUGCCAGCAGCCGCGGUAAUACGGAGGGUGCGAGCGUUAAUCGGAAUUACUGGGCGUAAAGCGCGCGUAGGCGGUCUGAUAAGCCGGUUGUGAAAGCCCCGGGCUCAACCUGGGAACGGCAUCCGGAACUGUCAGGCUAGAGUGCAGGAGAGGAAGGUAGAAUUCCCGGUGUAGCGGUGAAAUGCGUAGAGAUCGGGAGGAAUACCAGUGGCGAAGGCGGCCUUCUGGACUGACACUGACGCUGAGGUGCGAAAGCGUGGGUAGCAAACAGGAUUAGAUACCCUAGUAGUC
RNAcentral lists this ribosomal RNA (465 nucleotides) under Vreelandella stevensii. RNAcentral's name for it is "partial 16S ribosomal RNA". It matches the Rfam family "Bacterial small subunit ribosomal RNA", at positions 338 to 795 of the family's 1533-position model. Lineage: Bacteria; Pseudomonadati; Pseudomonadota; Gammaproteobacteria; Oceanospirillales; Halomonadaceae. The record is from RNAcentral.